This 484-nucleotide long non-coding RNA is filed under the name Capsella rubella. RNAcentral's name for it is "long non-coding RNA (CRUB_LNC000954)". Lineage: Eukaryota; Viridiplantae; Streptophyta; Magnoliopsida; Brassicales; Brassicaceae. The record is from RNAcentral.
GACUUUCAUUUUUAUGCCUUUAAAAUUUGUUAUUUUCAUAAAAAACAUUUCAUCUAAUCAUUUGUCAACACGUUACACGUCAGCAUCUCUUAGAGGUUCUUUAAGACCAGCUCCAACAACGUUAUUUAACAAAGUUAUUAACAUAUUAAAAAAAAGAAAAUAUUAAAAAGAUUAGAAAGAGAAGAAAAAAGAGCUCUUAAAAUUCUUGUUUUAUCAACGGUUACUUGUACUGUGUAUACACAUGGGCAUUUGUUAUUGGUUUAACCUUAUCAAAAUGCCAAAAUAUUAUUGUUUAGUUCAAUUUUUUUUUUUUUGGGAAACUAGCAUAGUUUCAUUUAUUGGAGAGCAUCCACAUCAGUAGAUGUCUUCAAAUUCAGUUAUAACUUAAACAAAAUUAAUAUUUUAAUAUAACUAUUUCAUCUGAAAAUUUGAGGCACUACAAAAUUAACAUUUGGCAAAUGGAUGUCUUAAACCAUCUUUAAGG